Molecule: ribosomal RNA, 432 nt
Filed under: uncultured bacterium
Lineage: Bacteria
Description: partial 16S ribosomal RNA
Rfam family: Bacterial small subunit ribosomal RNA
Source: RNAcentral
AACGAACGCUGGCGGCAUGCCUAACACAUGCAAGUCGAACGAGACCUUCGGGUCUAGUUGCGCACGGGUGCGUAACGCGUGGGAACCUGCCCUUAGGUUCGGAAUAACUCCCCGAAAGGGGUGCUAAUACCGGAUAAUGUCUUCGGACCAAAGAUUUAUCGCCUUUGGAUGGGCCCGCGUUGGAUUAGCUAGUUGGUAGGGUAAAAGCCUACCAAGGCGACGAUCCAUGGCUGGUCUGAGAGGAUGAUCAGCCACACUGGGACUGAGACACGGCCCAGACUCCUACGGGAGGCAGCAGUGGGGAAUAUUGGACAAUGGGCGAAAGCCUGAUCCAGCAAUGCCGCGUGAGUGAUGAAGGCCUUAGGGUGGUAAAGCUCUUUUACCCGGGAUGAUAAUGACAGUACCGGGAGAAUAAGCUCCGGCUAACUCCGU